RNAcentral lists this long non-coding RNA (1217 nucleotides) under Salmo salar (Atlantic salmon). Its description in RNAcentral is "lncRNA (ENSSSAG00000090000.1)". The record is from RNAcentral. Lineage: Eukaryota; Metazoa; Chordata; Actinopteri; Salmoniformes; Salmonidae.
GAAAUGCAGUGUUAAGGGAUAAAGUCAUAUCAUCAUUAAAAAGGAAAAAAGUGCAGCAUAAACCCAAAGCUAAAAUCUUGCAUAAUUUUGUCAGACGCUCAAUAUUUACGAAGUCUGUCCUCGAGACAUUGUUAAAGGGCUAAACCUAACUUUUUUUUUUUAAGUGCUUGAUUGUUCCAGUCUGGCUGAUACCAAACUCAAAGUCCUCCUGACUUCAAAGUCUGGAAAGGCUGUUUUGUUGUUGUCGGCACGAUGCGUUGAUGAUGAACGGGGGGAUAACUCGUCAACAGCAAAACAGUUCCUCCGCCGAGAAGAUGAGAGAAUUAUCAAUCGUCAAAUUUUAGUUUCAACUGUUCUGCUUGGGGCUAUGGAACCCUGACCUGUUCAUCAGACCUGCUACCUUGUCCCGGACCUGCUGUUUUGGACUCUCUCUACCGCACCUGCUGUCUCUAACUCUGAAUGCUCGGCUAUGAAAAACCAACUGACAUUUACUCCUGAGGUGCUGACCUGUUGCACCCUCUACACCCACUGUGAUUAUUAUUAUCUGACCCUGCUGGUCAUCUAUGAACAUUUGAACAUCUUGGCCAUGUUCUGUUAUAAUCUCAACCCGGCACAGCUAGAAGAGGACUGGUUCCUCUCUAUGGUUUCUUCCUAGGUUCCAACCUUUCUAGGGAGUUUUUUCUAGCCACCGUGCUUCUACAUCUGCAUUGCUUGCUGUUCGGGGUUUUAGGCUGGAUUUCUGUACAGCACUUUGUGACAUCGGCUGAUGUAAAAAAGGGCUUUAUAAUUAAAUUUGAUUGAUUGAUAGUGAGAUACCCAAUGGGUAUCUUUGACACUUAAAUUGAAUAAGAUAUUACUUAAAUACUGGAAGUCAAAUAAUACUCCAACGUUAAGAGAAUGGAAAAAUCAAAUGCUUGAAUUUAAUAUUGAAAAAGACAGACAGACAGAAUGCAUGUACAUUUUGAGUUGUGUAUUGUUUUUGUCCAUCUAGGUUUGUAUAAAAGAAAGUUAACUAAAAAUACAGUUUUUUUUAAUUAAUACAAAAUUAACUCUGUCGUAGGGACUGAAUGUUGGAGGAGCUUUAAGGGCAGUAAGUAGCAGGAGGCAGCAGGAUCAGGGGCAAAAUGCUGUCCAGUUUAAUAACAAUGAAAGGUGGUUUCCGGUGAAUGACGAAAUGCAAUGAAUAUUUACAUAAUCUACAAAAGGUAAUUACAGAA